UACGAAGGGGGCUAGCGUUGCUCGGAAUCACUGGGCGUAAAGCGCACGUAGGCGGAUUUGUAAGUCAGGGGUGAAAUCCCGGGGCUCAACCUCGGAACUGCCUUUGAUACUGCAAAUCUCGAGUCCGAUAGAGGUGGGUGGAAUUCCUAGUGUAGAGGUGAAAUUCGUAGAUAUUAGGAAGAACACCGGUGGCGAAGGCGGCCCACUGGAUCGGUACUGACGCUGAGGUGCGAAAGCGUGGGGAGCAAACAGG
RNAcentral lists this ribosomal RNA (253 nucleotides) under uncultured bacterium. RNAcentral describes it as "partial 16S ribosomal RNA". It matches the Rfam family "Bacterial small subunit ribosomal RNA", at positions 524 to 776 of the family's 1533-position model. The record is from RNAcentral.